AUGGCUCCAGGCGGGCACUGUUGAAAAGAAGCAGACUUUUAGCAGUAGGAAGCAGGGAGCUUGCAUCAGAGGAUCUUUGUAAAUGCCCCUCUAAAAUUAAAGUCCUCUCUAAGCUCCUUCCAGGUCUUUUACAUGCAUCGUUGGAUUGCAGUCUCAAGCCUGGGAUUCCAACGGAAUUAACGUCCAUUGAAAACUUACUGUGCUCAAGGCACAGAACGGGGUAGUUUUAUACACAUUCUCCCAUUUGGAUUUUUCAAAGACAACAUCUAAUCAUCCCCAGAGAAAUUUCAGCUGAGAAGACAGGAUGAUGAAGUGCCCUGGGGGCCAGAGUCCAGACAAGUAUUUUGGCACCUCCAAGGACUCGCAGAACACAGAGAGGAAAAGAGAGACCCUGUUAUCUUUCCGCAGGGGUGGCCGUUCAAACUCUCAGAGAUGGAAGUUAAGAUUUCCUUUGGUAUAAGUGGCAGUUUGACUGGCUGCAAGGAGAGCCUCAGUUUGUUUAAUUUGGAGUAAAAUUUUAUGAGUUAAUCUCUAGUGAGGGAAAGCAGCAGUAAACACAGAACAUACUGGUCAUUA
This 576-nucleotide long non-coding RNA is filed under the name Homo sapiens (human). RNAcentral's name for it is "HSALNT0339754". The record is from RNAcentral. Lineage: Eukaryota; Metazoa; Chordata; Mammalia; Primates; Hominidae.